Long non-coding RNA from Pseudomyrmex gracilis, 475 nucleotides. RefSeq lists it as uncharacterized. Lineage: Eukaryota; Metazoa; Arthropoda; Insecta; Hymenoptera; Formicidae. The record is from RefSeq and is a predicted model, not a curated record. The transcript has 5 exons.
CAGAAAAGGAGUUUGCAGCACCGGAGGAGCCGGUUCGGGUCAUUUCAAAGCAGUCUAAAGAUGGUGACGGAUUGUUUUCACCGAGAAAAAGUUGGCACCACCGGAACAGCCGGUUUAAGCCAAUUUAAAGCAUUUUAAAGAUGGUGACGGAUUGUGUUCACCGAGAAAAAGUUUGCACCACCGGAACAGCCGGUUUAAGCCAUNUUAAAGCACUUUAAAGAUGGUGACGGAUUGUGUUCACCGAGAAAAAGUUUGCACCACCGUAACAGCCGGUUUAAGCCAACUUAAAGCAUUUUAAAGAUGGUGAAGGAUUGUGUUCACCGAGAAAAAGUUUGCACCACCGGGACAGCCGGUUUAAGGCAACUUAAAGCAUUUUAAAAGUGAAUAUCGUUCAGAUGGUGACGGAUUGUGUUUUACCGUAGAAAAGUUAACAGCACCGGCAGAUCCGGUUUGGGCCAUCUCAAAGGCAUUUUAA